This is a non-coding RNA of Phascolarctos cinereus (koala), 446 nucleotides long. The record is from RefSeq and is a predicted model, not a curated record. Lineage: Eukaryota; Metazoa; Chordata; Mammalia; Diprotodontia; Phascolarctidae.
GGCCAGAAAGUCUUGUAGAUGUGCAGAUUUCCCUCUUUCCAUUGACUGGUCAUCAUGGAAUCUAAGGACAGAGUCAGCAGGCUAGACCUCCAUCUGACACCAUCACCUCCGGAAAGAAGAAAGCAAGGCCAGGAUGAGAAGAAGGGCCAGAAUGGAAAAUGAUCAUACUUUGAUCAUGUUAUUCAUGGAAUUUCUACUAUUUCCUGCCUAAAAUAAUUGAAAGAUUUGAAGGCAGAUGGCUUGUCCUUGAAUUCUGACUUUGUUUUAAUCAAGGUUACCAUCAUUCAAGUAGCAAUCUCUUUCCUUGAAGAGGUGCCUUACUGCACUUAAUCCUGUUUUCUCUACCCCAGUCCCUGCGAAGCCCCUUAAUCCAUUUAUAGUAGAAUACGUAUUGAAUUCAAUAAUAUCAUGCCUCCCUUAAUUAAUGUUAUUGAUUUGUAUUUGGU